Molecule: ribosomal RNA, 482 nt
Filed under: uncultured bacterium
Lineage: Bacteria
Description: partial 16S ribosomal RNA
Rfam family: Bacterial small subunit ribosomal RNA
Source: RNAcentral
AUUGAACGCUGGCGGCAUGCCUUACACAUGCCAGUCGAACGGUAACGGGCCUUCGGGUGCCGACGAGUGGCGAACGGGUGAGUAAUACAUCGGAACGUGCCCGAUCGUGGGGGAUAACGAGGCGAAGGCUUUGCUAAUACCGCAUACGAUCUACGGAUGAAAGCAGGGGACCGCAAGGCCUUGCGCGGACGGAGCGGCCGAUGGCAGAUUAGGUAGUUGGUGGGAUAAAAGCUUACCAAGCCGACGAUCUGUAGCUGGUCUGAGAGGAUGAUCAGCCACACUGGGACUGAGACACGGCCCAGACUCCUACGGGAGGCAGCAGUGGGGAAUUUUGGACAAUGGGCGCAAGCCUGAUCCAGCCAUGCCGCGUGCAGGAUGAAGGCCUUCGGGUUGUAAACUGCUUUUGUACGGAACGAAAAGCCUUCUUUUAAUACAGGAGGGUCAUGACGGUACCGUAAGAAUAAGCACCGGCUAACUACGUG